UACGUAGGGUGCAAGCGUUGUCCGGAAUUAUUGGGCGUAAAGGGCUCGUAGGCGGUCCAUCACGUCGGGAGUGAAAAGCUGGGGCUUAACCCCAGUCCUGCUUCCGAUACGGGUGGACUAGAGGUAGGCAGGGGAGAACGGAAUUCCUGGUGUAGCGGUGAAAUGCGCAGAUAUCAGGAGGAACACCGGUGGCGAAGGCGGAUCUCUGGGCCUUACCUGACGCUGAGGCGCGAAAGCUAGGGGAGCGAACAGG
This 253-nucleotide ribosomal RNA is filed under the name uncultured bacterium. RNAcentral's name for it is "partial 16S ribosomal RNA". It matches the Rfam family "Bacterial small subunit ribosomal RNA", at positions 524 to 776 of the family's 1533-position model. The record is from RNAcentral.